CCUACGGGCGGCAGCAGUGAGGAAUAUUGGUCAAUGGACGAGAGUCUGAACCAGCCAAGUAGCGUGAAGGAUGACUGCCCUCUGGGUUGUAAACUUCUUUUAUAUGGGAAUAAAAUGUUCCACGUGUGGGAUUUUGUAUGUACCAUAUGAAUAAGGAUCGGCUAAAUCCGUGCCAGCAGCCGCGGUAUAACGGAGGUUCCGAGCGUUAUCCGGAUUUUUUGGGUUUAAAGGGAGCGUAGGUGGAUUUUUAAGUCAGUUGUGAAAGUUUGCGGCUCAACCGUAAAACUGCAGUUGAAACUGGCAGUCUUGAGUGCAGGAGAGGUAGGCGGAAUUCGUGGUGUAGCGGUGAAAUGCUUAGAUAUCACGAAGAACUCCGAUGGCGAAGGCAGCUCACUGGACUGCAACUGACGCUGAGGCUCGAAAGUGUGGGUAUCAAACAGGAUUAGAUACCCGGGUAGUC
Molecule: ribosomal RNA, 460 nt
Filed under: uncultured bacterium
Lineage: Bacteria
Description: partial 16S ribosomal RNA
Rfam family: Bacterial small subunit ribosomal RNA
Source: RNAcentral